Molecule: transfer RNA, 74 nt
Organism: Methanoregula formicica SMSP
Lineage: Archaea; Methanobacteriati; Methanobacteriota; Methanomicrobia; Methanomicrobiales; Methanoregulaceae
Rfam family: tRNA
About the family: Transfer RNA (tRNA) molecules are approximately 80 nucleotides in length. Their secondary structure includes four short double-helical elements and three loops (D, anti-codon, and T loops). Further hydrogen bonds mediate the characteristic L-shaped molecular structure. tRNAs have two regions of fundamental functional importance: the anti-codon, which is responsible for specific mRNA codon recognition, and the 3' end, to which the tRNAs corresponding amino acid is attached (by aminoacyl-tRNA synthetases). tRNAs cope with the degeneracy of the genetic code in two manners: having more than one tRNA (with a specific anti-codon) for a particular amino acid; and 'wobble' base-pairing, i.e. permitting non-standard base-pairing at the 3rd anti-codon position.
Source: Rfam
GCCUAUGUGACACAGCCCGGCAGUGUGCCUCCUUGGUAAGGAGGAAGUCCCGAGUUCAAAUCUCGGCAUAGGCU